This 619-nucleotide ribosomal RNA is filed under the name Duganella sp. Ri2Pw_5999. RNAcentral describes it as "bacterial SSU rRNA". It matches the Rfam family "Bacterial small subunit ribosomal RNA", at positions 391 to 1003 of the family's 1533-position model. The record is from RNAcentral. Lineage: Bacteria; Pseudomonadati; Pseudomonadota; Betaproteobacteria; Burkholderiales; Oxalobacteraceae.
GCAAUGCCGCGUGAGUGAAGAAGGCCUUCGGGUUGUAAAGCUCUUUUGUCAGGGAAGAAACGGAUUUUUCUAAUACAGAGACCUAAUGACGGUACCUGAAGAAUAAGCACCGGCUAACUACGUGCCAGCAGCCGCGGUAAUACGUAGGGUGCAAGCGUUAAUCGGAAUUACUGGGCGUAAAGCGUGCGCAGGCGGUUUUGUAAGACUGUCGUGAAAUCCCCGGGCUCAACCUGGGAAUGGCGAUGGUGACUGCAAGGCUAGAGUUUGGCAGAGGGGGGUAGAAUUCCACGUGUAGCAGUGAAAUGCGUAGAUAUGUGGAGGAACACCGAUGGCGAAGGCAGCCCCCUGGGUCAAAACUGACGCUCAUGCACGAAAGCGUGGGGAGCAAACAGGAUUAGAUACCCUGGUAGUCCACGCCCUAAACGAUGUCUACUAGUUGUCGGGUUUUAAUUAACUUGGUAACGCAGCUAACGCGUGAAGUAGACCGCCUGGGGAGUACGGUCGCAAGAUUAAAACUCAAAGGAAUUGACGGGGACCCGCACAAGCGGUGGAUGAUGUGGAUUAAUUCGAUGCAACGCGAAAAACCUUACCUACCCUUGACAUGGCAGAAAUCUCCGAG